This is a long non-coding RNA of Cyprinus carpio carpio, 386 nucleotides long. Lineage: Eukaryota; Metazoa; Chordata; Actinopteri; Cypriniformes; Cyprinidae. The record is from Ensembl.
AUUUAUUGGUGCGCCGUGUUUAUGUCCAGGAGUGUGGCUGAGGAGUAAUAUGGACAUGUUGAGCGAAUGUUUAUCUUUGUGAGUCUUUAACUUGAACGCCAUCGAGUGUGCUGGGAGGUGCGAGUUAUCUGCAGCCCUGCGGAUAUGCAGAGAAAUGAAGAGCUGCCCUGCUUAAGUUCCCAAAAAAACCACAGGUGGUCUACAGAGACAAUCGUCUGGCUUUUGCAAAACCUGCCACUAAAGAGACAUCAGAGCCAGCGGCAAAUGUCAGAAGGACUAGCCGAGUCGAGACUGCUCUCGUCAGUAAACAUGAGCACUGAGCUCCCGCUGAUCGCCUGGAGCUGAUCAUCUCCGAAAUCGGCAGGUCAAGACCUCCACCAUCAUCC